Molecule: long non-coding RNA, 547 nt
Filed under: Oryza brachyantha (malo sina)
Lineage: Eukaryota; Viridiplantae; Streptophyta; Magnoliopsida; Poales; Poaceae
Description: long non-coding RNA (OBRA_LNC002848)
Source: RNAcentral
CUCUGAUUUAUGGAACACAAUAAUGACAUGCCACUCGACAAACUUUGGCCUUAAAAAGGGGUUGUAUAGGUGAUACACUGCAUAAAAAUAAAUGUUUUUGUUUGCUCAACCCACUAUGACGCAAAUGGCAGAUCAAAAUCUACCAUUCACUUUUGCAAUUGACAGACGAAACAGAUGUGUAUUAACUGAAAAUGGGGAAUCAGCAGGUCAACAUCAUGAAACCACUGCUGUACAUACAGAUAUUGUUACAACAGUUGUACAUGCUCAGGCAGCUCAGCUCUAAACCAAAAUUGUACAUCCCUACCAAUUGAAAUGUAAGCUGAAGACGUCAUUUGUCCAAGGAACAGUUCUUCCAUAAUCAUCACAAUCCUCACAAGAACAGUCAGGCAAGAAGCAAGACGAGAAGCACCUUAGCCAAGUAAAGAAGAAACAGUCCACUAUUUCUCUGUCUUCACAUCUAACGACCUGAGCUCUUGUAAUAAUUGGUCAUAUUUCUUUCUUUCCUCAGCAAUUUGAGAUCGGAGUUUUUGUUCCUAAAGAAGAGAGG